RNAcentral lists this ribosomal RNA (500 nucleotides) under uncultured bacterium. RNAcentral describes it as "partial 16S ribosomal RNA". It matches the Rfam family "Bacterial small subunit ribosomal RNA", at positions 30 to 523 of the family's 1533-position model. The record is from RNAcentral.
AUUGAACGCUGGCGGAAUGCUUUACACAUGCAAGUCGAACGAUGAACCUUAGCUUGCUAAGGGGAUUAGUGGCGAACGGGUGAGUAAUGUAUCGGAACGUAUCCAAUAAUGGGGGAUAACUAGUCGAAAGAUUAGCUAAUACCGCAUACGUCCUACGGGAGAAAGCUAGGGACCUUCGGGCCUGGCGUUAAUGGAGCGGCCGAUAUCUGAUUAGCUAGUUGGUGGGGUAAAGGCUCACCAAGGCGACGAUCAGUAGCUGGUCUGAGAGGACGCCCAGCCACACUGGAACUGGAACACGGUCCAAACUCCUACGGGCGGCAGCAGUGGAGAAUUUUGGACAAGGGGCGAAAGCCUGAUCCAGCCAUUCCGCGUGAGUGAAGAAGGCCUUCGGGUUGUAAAGCUCUUUCGCAAGGGAAGAAAACUUAAGCUCUAACAUAGCUUGAGGUUGACGGUACCUUGAUAAGAAGCACCGGCUAACUACGUGCCAGCAGCCGCCGUAA